UUUUUUGUGCAAUUUUUCGUCGUUCCUAUUAACACAGAAUUUUUUGUGCAUCAAUCUGUUCUAUUUUCUCUCUUUAAAAUAAUAAUUACAAGUAUUUUUAUUCCUUAUUGCAUAAAAUAGAUUUUUUUUUAGAAUUUCUCUCUUCUUUUUUUUUACCUACUCAAACAAAAUAGAAAACACCAAAAAGCCACAAAAAUUGAUAUCCCAAAUGCAACACAUAAACUAUCUAAUGCCCCUUCUCUCCUCAACUUCUUCUCUUUUCUUUCCCUUCUCAUUUCCAAAAACUCUUUAUACCUCUUCCUCCCUAUUUCACCUCUAUUAGCUCCAUUUCCCCUUUUACCCUCCAAUACAUUUUGUAAAAUUACCAAACUCUCCCUCCCAUUCAAAUGAGUUCCAUCCAUAUCCUCCACUCCCAAACACACUUCCCUCACCUGCAUUUCUCCUACCUCAGAUCCACCGCACGUGACAACUAUCUCACACUGCACGUGACCUCUCUUUUGAUCAACGGUUAGGAUUGAAGUAAAACGUACCUGCACUUCGCCGGUUAACCAGUGCCGUUGUACGGAAACGGACUUGAAGGAGGAGAGGUUUAUCGAUCGCCGGCCGAUCGGAUCAAUCAAAAUCCAACUCAACGUCAUGUGAUCAAUCAGAUCCGUACACGUGCCGUCGUCGCUCGGGUGUUUGAUAGUCGUUGAAAUCACCUCCUUUGGAUCUAUCAUGUCGAUUCUGAACGGCGAGGAUUGAAACCAACUCGACGUCGUUUCAGUCUCUUGUACGUUACUGAAAAUCGCUUUGUUUUUGUAGUGUAUAUCGACGGCCGAUAUUAAUUCCGGCGGUGAAGAUGAACGGCUUGCAAUUGAAUUUGUCUGUUGAACAAUCCACUGUUUCCGAUUCCGAUCAAACAAACACACAGAGAAAAAGUUUGAUAGGAUUAUAUAUAUAGUAGAUCUUAGCGAUGUCAAACUCACUGACUCUACAUCGUGAAUUUGCUUAUUCUCGGAGGAAGGGAGAGAGAAGGACUGAGAGAAGAAGGUACGGUGACCGGCGUCGGGGAAGGUGGAGAUGACGUGGCUGAUACGAGGAGUGGCGGUAGACGGCCAAGUGGAGUGGCAUACACGUGACCAUAAGUGGUUUUCUGAGGAGAGGUGGUGGAGAGUGGAGGAGGAACAGCUGGUGGAAGCUAGAGUUGGUCCGUCGAGUCGAGUGAGUAUAUGAGCUUCGAUGAUAUAUGGAUGCAAAUCGGCAAAACCAGUUGCGCUGCCGUCUUCCUCCGUGACGGUGGUGGUGAUAGUGGUGGUGAUUGGUGGACUAUGGAGUGAGGAAGUCAUUUGAGAAGUGUGAA
Molecule: unclassified non-coding RNA, 1342 nt
Filed under: Hevea brasiliensis (rubber tree)
Lineage: Eukaryota; Viridiplantae; Streptophyta; Magnoliopsida; Malpighiales; Euphorbiaceae
Source: RNAcentral